Molecule: ribosomal RNA, 251 nt
Filed under: uncultured Bartonella sp.
Lineage: Bacteria; Pseudomonadati; Pseudomonadota; Alphaproteobacteria; Hyphomicrobiales; Bartonellaceae
Description: partial 16S ribosomal RNA
Rfam family: Bacterial small subunit ribosomal RNA
Source: RNAcentral
UACGAAGGGGGCUAGCGUUGUUCGGAUUUACUGGGCGUAAAGCGCACGUAGGCGGAUAUUCAAGUCGGAGGUGAAAUCCCAGGGCUCAACCCUGGAACUGCCUUCGAUACUGGAUAUCUCGAGUAUGGAAGAGGUGAGUGGAAUUCCGAGUGUAGAGGUAAAAUUCGUAGAUAUUCGGAGGAACACCAGUGGCGAAGGCGGCUCACUGGACCAUUACUGACGCUGAGGUGCGAAAGCGUGGGGAGCAAACA